CCUACGGGUGGCAGCAGUGAGGAAUAUUGGUCAAUGGCCGGAAGGCUGAACCAGCCAAGCCGCGUGCAGGACGAAGGUGCCAAGCAUUGUAAACUUCUUUUGUCAAGGGACAAAAUCAGGCUCGAGAGCCUGACCGAGGGUACUUGAAGAAAAAGCAUCGGCUAACUCCGUGCCAGCAGCCGCGGUAAUACGGAGGAUGCGAGCGUUAUCCGGAUUUAUUGGGUUUAAAGGGUGCGUAGGCGGGCGGUUAAGUCAGGGGUAAAAUGCCGGGGCUCAACCCCGGCCGGGCCUUUGAAACUGGCUGUCUUGAGAUGUCGAGAGGUAGGCGGAAUGCGCAGUGUAGCGGUGAAAUGCUUAGAGAUUGCGCAGAACUCCGAUUGCGAAGGCAGCAUACCGGCGGCGAUCUGACGCUGAGGCACGAAAGCGUGGGUAGCGAACAGGAUUAGAUACCCUUGUAGUC
Molecule: ribosomal RNA, 460 nt
Filed under: uncultured bacterium
Lineage: Bacteria
Description: partial 16S ribosomal RNA
Rfam family: Bacterial small subunit ribosomal RNA
Source: RNAcentral